RNAcentral lists this ribosomal RNA (520 nucleotides) under uncultured Glomus. RNAcentral's name for it is "SSU rRNA". It matches the Rfam family "Eukaryotic small subunit ribosomal RNA", at positions 569 to 1090 of the family's 1831-position model. Lineage: Eukaryota; Fungi; Glomeromycota; Glomeromycetes; Glomerales; Glomeraceae. The record is from RNAcentral.
AGCAGCCGCGGUAAUUCCAGCUCCAAUAGCGUAUAUUAAAGUUGUUGCAGUUAAAAAGCUCGUAGUUGAAUUUCGGGGUUAGUAGGUUGGUCAUGCCUCUGGUAUGUACUGGUCUCACUGAUUCCUCCUUCCUGAUGAACCUUAAUGCCAUUUAUUUGGUGUUUUGGGGAAUUUGGACUGUUACUUUGAAAAAAUUAGAGUGUUUAAAGCAAGUUAACGCUUGAAUACAUUAGCAUGGAAUAAUGAAAUAGGACGUUCGAUCCUAUUUUGUUGGUUUCUAGGAUUGACGUAAUGAUUAAUAGGGAUAGUUGGGGGCAUUAGUAUUCAAUUGUCAGAGGUGAAAUUCUUGGAUUUAUUGAAGACUAACUACUGCGAAAGCAUUUGCCAAGGAUGUUUUCAUUAAUCAAGAACGAAAGUUAGGGGAUCGAAGACGAUCAGAUACCGUCGUAGCCUUAACCAUAAACUAUAGCCGACUAGGGAUCGGAUGAUGUUAAUUUUUAAUGACUCAUUCGGNGCCCCU